Molecule: ribosomal RNA, 215 nt
Filed under: uncultured bacterium
Lineage: Bacteria
Description: partial 16S ribosomal RNA
Rfam family: Bacterial small subunit ribosomal RNA
Source: RNAcentral
GGUAUCUAUCUCCGGGUGGGGGACAACGGUUGGAAACGACUGCUAAUACGCAUGAUGCCCGAGGGCCAAAGGCGUAAGUCGCCUGGAGAGGAGCCUGCGUACGAUUAGCUUGUUGGCGGGGUAAUGGCCCACCAAGGCGACGAUCGUUAGCUGGUCUGAGAGGAUGAUAGCCACACUGGGACUGAGACACGGAGACUCCUACGGGAGGCAGCAGU